UAACCCUAGAUUACUACCCUUCGUCGAUUCGACGACGCGUCACCAAAAAAAUCGCUAUAACUUUUACGCGUGCGACCGUAUGGUUUUCUGACUUCAGCUAAUCUCAGCCAACCCGUUGCGCUUGCGAUGGACGGUAGUGCUUUGUGCGUGGAAGGUCCACACGCGGUGUUCCAGCAGCCAUGGCUCGUCACAUCGACGAAGAUACGAUUCAUAUGUUAGUUUUAGAAGUUGAAAGCGAUGAGGAAAAUUCAUCUGCGAGAGAGCCUGAAGACCACAUUGAGGCUGAAGAGGCAUGAAACGGAGGGUGAUGAUGAAGUUUCUACUGUAAAUAAAGAGCAAUUUCCAGAUCAAGAUUAUGAGGCAAGUAGUAAUACAUCUCCCCACGUUCUAUUGAAGAUGAGAUACCUAGCACUUCAGCUGACCCUAGCGAUUACAAGACCAUCGCAUACCAUUCUUCUUGGGAAAGACAAACACAUAUUAUGGUCAUCACAACAGUCAAGGCCACAAAGCAGAAGACCUUCAAAGAACAUAGAUACAUAGCACGUGGACCUGUGUGUGACGCUUUUUUCGAGAUAUUUUAGAUCCUCUUCAAUGUUUUUCAGGUAUAAUUACUGGUGACAUUACUGAUACUCUUUGGGACUCAAUUACAUAAAUUUUAAACAUGCCAGAAAUAAAUAAUGUGAAAGUUAUAAAUGAGACUGAGCAAAGUAAUGCUGCUAAUGUGCCUCCAUAGCAAACUAAAAUAAACAUAUAUGCUAUAUUAUGUCCCUCCGUAAAGCAAAGGUAGACCUAAAAAUAGGUGCACUAGGUGCAAAAAUCGUUGUGUGGGGAACACAAACUUGAUGUGUGUCACAAAUGUUUUAGAUCCUAAGCUAUUAUCAAAAUUAUAUUUUUAAUUAAUUUUCCAGAUAUUAUUUUUGUAAGUAAUACUUUAUUUCGAGCAAUUUAGAGGUAUAUAUUAUUUGUACGGAAUUUUUCAAAAAAAUUAAGAAUGUUCAUAAAGCGUGUAAACUGUGAUCUCAUUUUGAUGACUGUUUGAAUUAAAACUAUGUUAAAAUAAAUAUUUUUAUAUUUUUAUAUGUAGAUUAAUACCUUGUCCUUAAAAUAAAGACAUAACUACAAAUAUAUUUUUUUAAUUAAACCCCUAAAUCCCCUCCAAUAAACAGCGUAGUCGAAACGACGAAGGUUAGUAUUAAACGUUGAAAAAUAAGGUUAGUGUUCUAGGGUUAAUUAUAUUAAAU
Long non-coding RNA from Colias croceus (clouded yellow), 1241 nucleotides. RefSeq lists it as uncharacterized. The transcript is spliced from 2 exons. The record is from RefSeq and is a predicted model, not a curated record. NCBI's taxonomy places the organism in Eukaryota, Metazoa, Arthropoda, Insecta, Lepidoptera, Pieridae.